RNAcentral lists this ribosomal RNA (651 nucleotides) under uncultured bacterium. Its description in RNAcentral is "bacterial SSU rRNA". It matches the Rfam family "Bacterial small subunit ribosomal RNA", at positions 145 to 811 of the family's 1533-position model. The record is from RNAcentral.
AACAGUCCGAAAGGAUUGCUAAUACCCCAUGUGGUCAUUUGGAUUAGAUGCCUUAUGACUAAACGGAUUUAUUCGCUUCGGGAGGGGCCUGCGUCCCAUCAGCUAGUUGGUGAGGUAAUAGCUUACCAAGGCGAUGACGGGUAGGGGACCUGAGAGGGUGGCCCCCCACAAUGGAACUGAAACACGGUCCAUACACCUACGGGUGGCAGCAGUAGGGAAUAUUGGUAAUCUGGGAAACCGGGAACCAGCAACGCCGCGUGCGCGAUGAAGGCCUUCGGGUUGUAAAGCGCUUUUUAAAGGGAUGAGGAAGGACAGUACCUUUAGAAUAAGCCUCGGCUAACUACGUGCCAGCAGCCGCGGUAAAACGUAGGAGGCGAGCGUUAUCCGGAUUUACUGGGCGUAAAGCGUGUGUAGGCGGUUUGAUGAGUUGGAUGUGAAAGCUCCCGGCUUAACUGGGAGAGGUCGUUCAAAACUGUCAGACUUGAGAGUGGUAGAGGGAGAUGGAAUUCCGCGUGUAGUGGUGAAAUGCGUAGAUAUGCGGAGGAACACCAGUGGCGAAAGCGGUCUCCUGGCCCACUUCUGACGCUCAGACACGAAAGCUAAGGUAGCAAACGGGAUUAGAGACCCCGGUAGUCUUAGCUGUAAACGAUG